This 432-nucleotide ribosomal RNA is filed under the name Zorotypus sp. 1 YM-2019. RNAcentral describes it as "partial 16S ribosomal RNA". It matches the Rfam family "Bacterial large subunit ribosomal RNA", at positions 1819 to 2545 of the family's 2925-position model. The record is from RNAcentral. Lineage: Eukaryota; Metazoa; Arthropoda; Insecta; Zoraptera; Zorotypidae.
GUCUUUUUGAUUAAAUAAAAGGUUUGGUCUGCCCACUGAGCGAUUUAAUGGCCGCGGUAUUUUGACCGUGCAAAGGUAGCAUAAUCAUUAGUUUAUUAAUUGUAAGCUGGAAUGAAGGAUUGGACGAGGAUUAAGCUGUCUUUUUAGUAUAGAUAAAAUUUACAGUUUCAUUGAAAAUGAUGAAAUAGUUAUAAGGGACGAGAAGACCCUAUAGAGUUUUAUAUAAGGAUUUAGUUUUAGAGGUAUAAGGUUAAAUAUUUAAUUGGGGUAAUUGAUUAAUAGUAUAAUUUAAUUUAAUUGGAUAAAACUCUAUCGAAGGGUGGGCGAUCUAUAAAUAGUUUUAGAUUAAACUACCUUAGGGAUAACAGUGUGAUAUAGUUUAGAGUUCGUAUUGAAAAUUAUGAUUGCAACCUCGAUGUUGGAUUAAGGAAA